AAUCGCAAUGUGUUCCAGAAACUACUUGCCCAAGGGAUUUCAAGCUGUUACCAAACCAAAAAAGAAGUGAUAAUUGUUAUUCAUAUGAAGGAGACGGUAAAACGUGGCUGGAAGCUCAGUCGAUUUGUGCCAGAACGCCAGGUGCCUACCUGUGGAGACCGAACACGGAAGAAGAAGCCAACGCUGCUUACCUAGAAUAUUUGCAACAAGCACCUUAUGUAUGGACCGGUGCAAAUGAUAUAGACAAGGAUGGGAUUUUUACAUUUAUCACAGAAAAUGGUACUUUGAAUUCUGUCCCAUUUGGACAAGG
This is a long non-coding RNA of Mytilus trossulus (common blue mussel), 310 nucleotides long. RefSeq lists it as uncharacterized. The record is from RefSeq and is a predicted model, not a curated record. The transcript is spliced from 3 exons. Lineage: Eukaryota; Metazoa; Mollusca; Bivalvia; Mytilida; Mytilidae.